AUCCGGGUGCUUGCACCUGGGGAUUAGUGGCGAACGGGUGAGUAACACGUGAGUAACCUGCCCUGGACUCUGGGAUAACCCCGAGAAAUCGGAGCUAAUACCGGAUAGGACCUGGAACCGCAUGGUUUUGGGUGGAAAGUUUUUCGGUCUGGGAUGGACUCGCGGCCUAUCAGCUUGUUGGUGAGGUAAUGGCUCACCAAGGCGUCGACGGGUAGCCGGCCUGAGAGGGUGACCGGCCACACUGGGACUGAGACACGGCCCAGACUCCUACGGGAGGCAGCAGUGGGGAAUAUUGCACAAUGGGCGCAAGCCUGAUGCAGCAACGCCGCGUGAGGGAUGACGGCCUUCGGG
Molecule: ribosomal RNA, 351 nt
Filed under: uncultured bacterium
Lineage: Bacteria
Description: bacterial SSU rRNA
Rfam family: Bacterial small subunit ribosomal RNA
Source: RNAcentral